This 482-nucleotide ribosomal RNA is filed under the name uncultured bacterium. RNAcentral describes it as "partial 16S ribosomal RNA". It matches the Rfam family "Bacterial small subunit ribosomal RNA", at positions 30 to 507 of the family's 1533-position model. The record is from RNAcentral.
AUUGAACGCUGGCGGCAUGCUUUACACAUGCAAGUCGAACGGUAACAGGCCGCAAGGUGCUGACGAGUGGCGAACGGGUGAGUAAUGCAUCGGAACGUGCCCAGUCGUGGGGGAUAACUACUCGAAAGAGUAGCUAAUACCGCAUACGAUCUAUGGAUGAAAGCGGGGGACCGUAAGGCCUCGCGCGAUUGGAGCGGCCGAUGUCAGAUUAGGUAGUUGGUGGGGUAAAGGCUCACCAAGCCAACGAUCUGUAGCAGGUCUGAGAGGACGACCAGCCACACUGGGACUGAGACACGGCCCAGACUCCUACGGGAGGCAGCAGUGGGGAAUUUUGGACAAUGGGCGCAAGCCUGAUCCAGCAAUGCCGCGUGCAGGAAGAAGGCCUUCGGGUUGUAAACUGCUUUUGUACGGAACGAAACGGCUCUGGUUAAUACCCGGGGCUAAUGACGGUACCGUAAGAAUAAGCACCGGCUAACUACGUG